GACGAACGCUGGCGGCGUGCUUAACACAUGCAAGUCGAACGGUACUUCCCUUCGGGGUACACGAGUGGCGAACGGGUGAGUAACACGUGGGUGAUCUGCCCUGCACUUCGGGAUAAGCCUGGGAAACUGGGUCUAAUACCGGAUAGGACCCUGGGAUGCAUGUCCUGGGGUGGAAAGCUUUUGCGGUGUGGGGUGGGCCCGCGGCCUAUCAGCUUGUUGGUGGGGUGAUGGCCUACCAAGGCGACGACGGGUAGCCGGCCUGAGAGGGUGACCGGCCAGACUGGGGCGGAGAUACGGCCCAGACUCCUACGGGAGGCAGCAGUGGGGAAUAUUGAACAAUGGGCGCAAGCCUGAUGCAGCGACGCCGCGUGAGGGAUGACGGCCUUCGGGUUGUAAACCUCUUUCAGCACCGACGAAGCGCAAGUGACGGUAGGUGCAGAAGAAGGACCGGCCAACUACGUGCCAGCCGCCGCCGUAA
RNAcentral lists this ribosomal RNA (478 nucleotides) under uncultured bacterium. RNAcentral's name for it is "partial 16S ribosomal RNA". It matches the Rfam family "Bacterial small subunit ribosomal RNA", at positions 28 to 523 of the family's 1533-position model. The record is from RNAcentral.